GAGGUUUUGGCAGAAAAUACACAAGCAAGGUGAGGUGAAUCAAAAAAAAUCUGCUGCAGUGCUAUGUUGCUUGUUGUGGUCAUGAAUUUUGACAGUUUUUCUCUUUCAAUUCUGCUGUUAGAAACUGCUAUUGUGACUUUUAAACAGCACUUGCCAUUUUGACAAAUGCCAAGCAAACCUGUUUUUGCAUCAGUUGACCUUUUGUUGGUCUGCUAGGUUUCAUCUCCUUGCAGCACAUG
RNAcentral lists this long non-coding RNA (239 nucleotides) under Lathyrus oleraceus (garden pea). RNAcentral's name for it is "Pisum sativum (pea) long non-coding RNA (PSAT_LNC034032)". Lineage: Eukaryota; Viridiplantae; Streptophyta; Magnoliopsida; Fabales; Fabaceae. The record is from RNAcentral.